RNAcentral lists this ribosomal RNA (498 nucleotides) under uncultured bacterium. RNAcentral's name for it is "partial 16S ribosomal RNA". It matches the Rfam family "Bacterial small subunit ribosomal RNA", at positions 28 to 523 of the family's 1533-position model. The record is from RNAcentral.
GAUGAACGCUAGCGGCAGGCCUAAUAUAUGCAAGUCGAACGGGAUUGGGGAGCUUGCUCCCCAUGAGAGUGGCGCACGGGUGCGUAACGCGUGAGCAACCUGCCCGUCCCAGGGGGAUAGCCCGUUGAAAGACGGAUUAACACCGCAUGAAGUAGUUAACUGGCAUCAGUAUACUACCAAAUAUUUAUAGGGGACGGAUGGGCUCGCGUGACCUUAGCUGGUUGGAGAGGUAACGGCUCACCAAGGCGACGAUGUCUAGGGGCUCUGAGAGGAGAAUCCCCCACACUGGUACUGGGACACGGACCAGACUCCGACGGGAGGCAGCAGUAAGGAAGAUUGGUCAAUGGGCGGAAGCCUGAACCAGCCAUGCCGCGUGCAGGAAGACGGCCCUACGGGUUGUAAACUGCUUUUGUACGGGAAUAAUUCCUAUUAUGUAUAAUAGGUUGAAUGUACCGUAAGAAUAAGGAUCGGCUAACUCCGUGCCAGCCGCCGCGGUAA